RNAcentral lists this ribosomal RNA (847 nucleotides) under uncultured bacterium. RNAcentral's name for it is "bacterial SSU rRNA". It matches the Rfam family "Bacterial small subunit ribosomal RNA", at positions 51 to 898 of the family's 1533-position model. The record is from RNAcentral.
ACACAUGCAAGUCGACGGCAGCACGGACUUCGGUCUGUGCGAGUGGCGAACGGGUNAGUAAUAUAUCGGAACGUAUCCAAUAAUGGGGGAUAACUAAUCGAAAGGUUGGCUAAUACCGCAUGAGAUCUACGGAUGAAAGCAGGGGACCGCAAGUCCUUGCGCGAAUGGAGCGGCCGAUGGCAGAUUAGGUAGUUGGUGAGGUAAAGGCUCACCAAGCCUGCGAUCUGUAGCUGGUCUGAGAGGACGACCAGCCACACUGGGACUGAGACACGGCUCAGACUCCUACGGGAGGCAGCAGUGGGGAAUUUUGGACAAUGGGCGCAAGCCUGAUCCAGCCAUGCCGCGUGCAGGAUGAAGGCCUUCGGGUUGUAAACUGCUUUUGUACGGAACGAAAAGGCUUUCUCUAAUAAAGAGGGCUCAUGACGGUACCGUAAGAAUAAGCACCGGCUAACUACGUGCCAGCAGCCGCGGUAAUACGAAGGGUGCAAGCGUUAAUCGGAAUUACUGGGCGUAAAGCGUGCGCAGGCGGUGAUGUAAGACAGUUGUGAAAUCCCCGGGCUCAACCUGGGAACUGCAUCUGUGACUGCAUCGCUGGAGUGCGGCAGAGGGGGAUGGAAUUCCGCGCUAGCAGUGAAAUGCGUAGAUAUGCGGAGGAACACCGAUGGCGAAGGCAAUCCCCUGGGCCUGCACUGACGCUCAUGCACGAAAGCGUGGGGAGCAAACAGGAUUAGAUACCCUGGUAGUCCACGCCCUAAACGAUGUCAACUGGUUGUUGGGUCUUCACUGACUCAGUAACGAAGCUAACGCGUGAAGUUGACCGCCUGGGGAGUACGGCCGCAAGGUUGAA